This 449-nucleotide ribosomal RNA is filed under the name uncultured bacterium. RNAcentral's name for it is "partial 16S ribosomal RNA". It matches the Rfam family "Bacterial small subunit ribosomal RNA", at positions 29 to 523 of the family's 1533-position model. The record is from RNAcentral.
AACGAACGCUGGCGGCAUGCCUAACACAUGCAAGUCGAACGAAGCCUUCGGGCUUAGUGGCGCACGGGUGCGUAACGCGUGGGAAUCUGCCCUUGGGUUCGGAAUAACAGUUAGAAAUGACUGCUAAUACCGGAUGAUGUCUUCGGACCAAAGAUUUAUCGCCCAAGGAUGAGCCCGCGUAGGAUUAGGUAGUUGGUGGGGUAAUGGCCCACCAAGCCGACGAUCCUUAGCUGGUCUGAGAGGAUGAUCAGCCACACUGGGACUGAGACACGGCCCAGACUCCUACGGGAGGCAGCAGUGGGGAAUAUUGGACAAUGGGCGAAAGCCUGAUCCAGCAAUGCCGCGUGAGUGAUGAAGGCCUUAGGGUUGUAAAGCCCUUUUACCCGGGAUGAUAAUGACAGUACCGGGAGAAUAAGCUCCGGCUAACUCCGUGCCAGCCGCCGCCGUAA